UAGGUAGUUUCUCGUUGUUGAG
RNAcentral lists this microRNA (22 nucleotides) under Ophiophagus hannah (king cobra). Its description in RNAcentral is "oha-miR-196c-5p". Its record names the gene oha-miR-196c-5p. RNAcentral also lists the same sequence under 1 other name. Lineage: Eukaryota; Metazoa; Chordata; Lepidosauria; Squamata; Elapidae. The record is from miRBase by way of RNAcentral.